CUACCAUGGCAGUCACGGGUAACGGAGAAUUAGGGUUCGAUUCCGGAGAGGGAGCCUGAGAAACGGCUACCACAUCUAAGGAAGGCAGCAGGCGCGUAAAUUACCCAAUCCUGAUUCAGGGAGGUAGUGACAAGAAAUAACAACCCGGGGGUCUCACGACCUUACGGGAUUGCAAUGAGAACAAUUUAAAUAACUUAACGAGGAACAAUUGGAGGGCAAGUCUGGUGCCAGCAGCCGCGGUAAUUCCAGCUCCAAUAGCGUAUAUUAAAGUUGUUGCAGUUAAAAAGCUCGUAGUUGAAUAUCUAACAGCUUGUAAUUUGGCUUCGGUCGAAUUGCAAGUUGGCAUCCGUCUAUAAAUUAGGAACGGCAUUCACUUGUUGCCCUAAGGAGUGGACAAUUUACUUUGAAAAAAUUAGAGUGUUUAAGGCAGGCUAUCGCUUGAAUACAUUAGCAUGGAAUAAUGGAAUAGGACUGUGAUCUAUUUCGUUGGUUAUCAGAUCAUAGUAAUGAUUAAUAGGGACAGUUGGGGGCAUUAGUAUUUAAUUGUCAGAGGUGAAAUUCUUGGAUUUAUUAAAGACUAACUAAUGCGAAAGCAUUUGCCAAGGAUGUUUUCAUUAAUCAAGAACGAAAGUUAGGGGAUC
This 641-nucleotide ribosomal RNA is filed under the name uncultured ciliate. Its description in RNAcentral is "SSU rRNA". It matches the Rfam family "Eukaryotic small subunit ribosomal RNA", at positions 341 to 999 of the family's 1831-position model. Lineage: Eukaryota; Ciliophora. The record is from RNAcentral.